UACGUAGGGCGCAAGCGUUGUCCGGAAUUAUUGGGCGUAAAGAGCGUGUAGGCGGUCAGAUAGGUCCGUUGUGAAAACUCGAGGCUCAACCUCGAGACGCCGAUGGAAACCAUCUGACUAGAGUCCGGAAGAGGAGAGUGGAAUUCCUGGUGUAGCGGUGAAAUGCGCAGAUAUCAGGAAGAACACCCGUGGCUAAGGCGGCUCUCUAGUACGGUACUGACGCUGAGACGCGAAAGCGUGGGGAGCGAACAGG
RNAcentral lists this ribosomal RNA (253 nucleotides) under uncultured bacterium. Its description in RNAcentral is "partial 16S ribosomal RNA". It matches the Rfam family "Bacterial small subunit ribosomal RNA", at positions 524 to 776 of the family's 1533-position model. The record is from RNAcentral.